This is an RNA transcript of Acanthochromis polyacanthus (spiny chromis), 1765 nucleotides long. RefSeq lists it as uncharacterized. The record is from RefSeq and is a predicted model, not a curated record. The transcript is spliced from 5 exons. NCBI's taxonomy places the organism in Eukaryota, Metazoa, Chordata, Actinopteri, Pomacentridae.
UCUCUGCUCCGACAGGACUCUCUCUGAGGACCUUCUGCCGUCCCAUCACCGCAGCUCUCCGUUAUCUUCCGCUGCUCUCACUUUUCUUCCGUCCUCACCUGAGCGGUUGAUGAUGUCACCGCGCCACCUGGCGGCGACGUGCUGCGUCACCGGCGUGAUUGUUGCCUUCAGGUGCUCCCGUAAACUUCACAGUCCCUCCCUCUUUCUUUCUUUCUUUAUGUUCAUUUCUAUCUAUCUAUCUAUCUAUCUAUCUAUCUAUCUAUCUAUCUAUCUUAUAUUUGUCUUUUUCUUUGUCUUCUAUUUUCUUUUUGUCUUUCUUUCUUUCUUUCUUUCUUGCCUAAAAGGAAGUUUCAUUUAGUUUCUAUUGGCCUAGUACGGGCAUAGAAGACAAGAUCUCUUGGACCUUAGUUGACUGCAUCACAUUUCAGCUAAGUUACACUAGUUUACCAGUUAAAUCUGACAGAAGCAAAGUCUCUUAGAAGACAAGUUUAAUGUCCUACCAAAGACUUUCUGCCACAAUGAAUCUGAACACAAACAAAGCUGUCUGAUGGAAUUUAACAUAAAUGAAAUUUCUUGAAUAAAAGACGACUGCAGCUUCCAAGUUCGCUGACGCAGGAAGACAAGAAUGCAGCUGUGCCAGAUACAGCCUAUUAAUUACAGCGCAUCGUCCGCACUCUGACAGAACCUGCAGCUGUUGACUGCCGCUCAGACCACCACCCUAUCAUUAAAGAUUCACAAGUCACAAAGAUCAACAGCAGCAGAAAUGUUUCCAGCUCCUACAGACAGUGGACGCCACGCCUCAGGGUACUGCGUCGGGCCCCAGCCGGGGAAGGAGGGGCAUCAUGAAGGUAAAGGAAAGGAUGCAGAGAUAGAGAGGGCCAAGGAAAAGGAUGCAGGAGGGAAGAGUAGCAGCUCUGAUCGUGACCACAAGGACCAAAGGAGCUCUAACAGUGACCGAUAUGACAGCGGGGACCGCCGUAGCUCUGAGCGUGACCGAUGUGACAGCGGGGACCACCGUAGCUCUGAGCGUGACCGAUAUGACAGCGGGGACCACCGUAGCUCUGAGCAUGACCGAUAUGACAGCGGGGACCACCGUAGCUCUGAGCGUGACCGAUAUGACAGCAGGGACCGCCGUAGCUCUGAGCGUGACCGAUAUGACAGCGGGGACCACCGUAGCUCUGAGCGUGACCGAUGUGACAGCAGGGACCGCCGUAGCUCUGAGCGUGACCGAUGUGACAGCAGGGACCGCCGUAGCUCUGAGCGUGACCGAUGUGACAGCGGGGACCACCGUAGCUCUGAGCGUGAUGGAGAAAAAAAGCACAAAGGACGCCGUCACCGCCGUGGGAGUGGUGGUGGAAGCCCAGGGCACAGCGGUGGCAGUGGUGAUAGCUACGGUAGCGGCGAUAGCUACGGCAGUGGCGGCAGCGGAGGUAGCGGCAGUGAGGACGAUGGCCACCCAGGAAAACAUGGCCGCAAACACAGGCACAAGCAUGGCCGCGGUCGUGGCCACGGUCGUGGGCACAAGCAUGGUCAUGGUCACGGCCGCUAGAAGAGCAGUGAACACAGGAACCACUUCAGUGACGAAAACUGGUGUGUCAACCUGCCUGCAGCUUUUGAACUUCAGCCAAAACAGUUGAGACGACGCUGCAGGGAAAAUAACUACCAGAAAUGAAAUAAUUAACCCACUGUACUGCAUCAGCAAUGGUGCAAUAAGUACACAUAUGCAAAGAAAAUGGUUAAAUGAAAUAAAAUACUCUGAAGACAA